This 199-nucleotide long non-coding RNA is filed under the name Manihot esculenta (cassava). RNAcentral's name for it is "long non-coding RNA (MESC_LNC002255)". The record is from RNAcentral. Lineage: Eukaryota; Viridiplantae; Streptophyta; Magnoliopsida; Malpighiales; Euphorbiaceae.
UGAGAUUAUUUUUCAAUCUUAAGCAGACGAGAUGAUUGCAGCACCAGCAAUAAAUAUGGCUGGAAUUGAUACCUUCUUAAAGUUUAAUGAGGGCGAAAAUUUCAAACUGUCGGAGGAAGGAGUAUUUGAAACAUGUGGAUGCGGAGAACGUCAGCUUUCUUGAACCCAUCUGCUAGCUUCGGCAUUCGAAAGAUAGGGC